This is a long non-coding RNA of Mus musculus (house mouse), 1136 nucleotides long. RefSeq annotates it as predicted gene, 46287. The transcript has 3 exons. NCBI's taxonomy places the organism in Eukaryota, Metazoa, Chordata, Mammalia, Rodentia, Muridae. The record is from RefSeq and is a predicted model, not a curated record.
GGAGAUGAUAGGACUGACUGAGUGGGGAGGUGAUAGGACUGACUGAGUGGGGAGGUGAUAGGACUGACUGAGUGGGGAGGUGAUAGGACUGCCUGAGUGGGGAGAUGAUAGGACUGACUGAGUGGGGAGAUGAUAGGACUGACUGAGUGGGGAGGUGAUAGGACUGACUGACUGGGGAGGUGAUAGGACUGACUGAGUGGGGAGAUGAUAGGACUGAGUGGGGAGGUGAUAGGACUGACUGAGUGGGGAGAUGAUGGGACUGACUGAGUGUAGAGGUGAUGGGACUGACUGAGUGGGGAGGUGAUAGGACUGACUGAGUGGGGAGGUGAUAGGACUGACUGAGUGGGGAGAUGAUAGGACUGAGUGGGGAGGUGAUAGGACUGACUGAGUGGGGAGAUGAUAGGACUGACUGAGUGGGGAGAUGAUAGGACUGACUGAGAGGGAGGUGAUAGGACUGACUGAGUGGGGAGGUGAUAGGACUGACUGAGUGGGGAGAUGAUAGGACUGACUGAGUGGGGAGAUGAUAGGACUGACUGAGAGGGAGGUGAUAGGACUGACUGAGUGGGGAGGUGAUAGGACUGACUGAGUAGGGAGAUGAUUGGACUGACUGAGUGGGAAGAUGAUAGGACUGACUGAGUGGGGAGAUGAUAGGACUGACUGAGUGGGGAGAUGAUUGGACUGACUGAGUGGGGAGAUGAUAGGACUGACUGAGUGGGGAGAUGAUAGGACUGACUGAGUGGGGAGAUGAUAGGACUGACUGAGUGGGGAGAUGAUGGGACUGACUGAGUGGGGAGAUGAUAGGACUGACUGAGUGGGGAGAUGAUAGGACUGACUGAGUGGGGUCCCAGUGUGAAGGGAGAGUAGAGGAAGGAGGAACAUUCAGACUUACCACUUUCUUGGGGGCGAAGGUUCAUCACUGCCUCAGCGGGUGCCAAGGACUACACAGCGUCUGUGCUUAACUUCUUCCUGUUUGCUGUAGCUUAGCUACUCAUUAGUAUUUUCUUAAGAACUAAAAAUUGUGUGACUUGGUGUGACUUGGCUGGUAGUUGGCAGAGUUGGCUGCAGAUGCCAGAGACCGGGCUGACCAUUUAGAACCAGUCUGCUUUUCAGUGCCUCUCACACUUCUUUAUUUGUCU